This 276-nucleotide ribosomal RNA is filed under the name Systenita prasina. RNAcentral's name for it is "partial 28S ribosomal RNA". It matches the Rfam family "Eukaryotic large subunit ribosomal RNA", at positions 612 to 863 of the family's 3401-position model. Lineage: Eukaryota; Metazoa; Arthropoda; Arachnida; Araneae; Pholcidae. The record is from RNAcentral.
GGGUUCUGGCGGCGAGUAGGUCGGUCACCCACCCGACCCGUCUUGAAACACGGACCAAGGAGUCUAACAUGUGCGCGAGUCGCAGGGUCUUGUUUAGGCCCUCGGGCGCAAUGAAAGUGAAGGUUCCUCGAGGACCGAGUUGGGACUCCGGUCUUCGGAUCGGAAGCACCAACGACCCGUCCGUACCGGUCCGCCGGUUGGGCGGAGUCUGAGCGUACACGUUGGGACCCGAAAGAUGGUGAACUAUGCCUGGGCAGAACGAAGCCAGAGGAAACU